RNAcentral lists this ribosomal RNA (253 nucleotides) under uncultured bacterium. Its description in RNAcentral is "partial 16S ribosomal RNA". It matches the Rfam family "Bacterial small subunit ribosomal RNA", at positions 524 to 776 of the family's 1533-position model. The record is from RNAcentral.
GACGAACCGUGCGAACGUUGUUCGGAUUCACUGGGCAUAAAGGGCGCGUAGGCGGAUGGUCAAGUCGGGGGUGAAAUCUUUCAGCUUAACUGGAAAAGUGCCUCCGAUACUGAUCGUCUCGAGGGAGGUAGGGGCAUGUGGAACUUCCGGUGGAGCGGUGAAAUGCGUAGAUAUCGUUUGGAACGCCAACGGAGAAAUCAGCUCGCUGGGGAUGUCCUGACGCUGAGACGCGAAAGCCAGGGGAGCAAACGGG